AAGGUGGAGGCAGAGUAAUGGUGGAAGUACAGUAAAGGUGGAGGCGGGGUUACGGUGGAAAUACAGUAAAGGUGGAGGUGGAGUAAUGGGGGAAAUACAGUAAAGGUGGAGGUGGAGUAAUGGUGGAAGUACAGUAAAGGUGGAGGCGGAGUAAUGGUGGAAGAAAGAGGUGCAGAAUAUAUUCUAAUCUACUCUAUCUACUCAAGCGUGACUACAGCAGUGGACAGGAGGAAGCUUGAGACAUGACAUCAGUGUUCAAGUUCUAAUAAUCAGGAGGAGGACAAUAAUGUACAAAACAUAGAGAGCAACUAUACAUCAGAGUUUAAUGUUUGCACAGCUGCUGAAAACACACAGACCUCUCUCUCUCUCUCUCUCUCUCUCUCUCUCUCUCUCUCUCACACACACACACACACACACACUCAUUUUACUUUAGACAAUUAAGGGCCAAAUAGAAACCGCCCACACACACAUUCAGGUGAAAAGGAAAACUGUAAUCUGACGCACAC
Ictalurus punctatus (channel catfish) is the source of this 506-nucleotide long non-coding RNA. Lineage: Eukaryota; Metazoa; Chordata; Actinopteri; Siluriformes; Ictaluridae. The record is from Ensembl.